AGUUUCAAUAAGAAAUAAUGGGAGCAUGAACUUUGCAGAAAAGAUAAAAAUGGAAUGAAGACAGAACUCUAAUUUAAGAAAGAAGUGAUUAUGCUGUUGAAAUCGUGAAGAUUUUACAGACUGCCUCCCAGAUUCACUGCCAGCAUCAGCAUGCUUGACUAGGAGAGUCAGGAGGGCCCUGCCAAGUCUGAUGCACUAUCUCUACCAUGACACCCUGAGGAGGAACUUGGAUUUCAAAUUAGUGAGCAGUCGGUACAAUGUAUUUCACUAUGCCAUGUUCAACAGAAAGGAAUACGAGCUUGAAAUACAUUCACAGAGUCUGUCAUCUUUUCCUAUCUCUCCAACAAAGAGAAGAGCUUUCUUUCUAGUUUGGACUGCCAAUGUCUUCCCUUCCACCUCGGGACUCAUUCUCUUGCAAUUUGGCACUGCCAACCCAGGAAAAGAGCUGAAGCAAUGCAUAUGGCUUCACAGCUGGAGACCACACUCCUCAGCCUCCUUACAACCAACCUGUCUUGUUUGAAUCCAUUCUCUUCAAGGGAAUGAGAACAAAAUUUACGUGUGCAGCUUCCAGCCCAUCAUCCAGUUCCCUGUCUUCUGCUAGCAGUACCCUGAUUUUGCUCUGUGGAAUCAUCCUCUUCCUGACUUUCAGCUCAUGUGCUUCUGGUAAUGAAUGGUGGCGCUUGGAUGUGGCUCCCAGCUUUCUGAAAGGAUACUCCAAAAAGAAUGUUCUAACCUCCAAAGUUGGUUUCCAUAAGGAAUUUAAAGAUUGUCCUGGGAUGAUGGACCCCACAGAAGUUAUAACAAGAAGAGGACAAGAGUGACCAUUAAGUAUGAACUUCUUUAGGAGAAUAUAACAGGUUUGGAAGAUCAAGGAAUGAAGUGGACUGGCUCUGGAACUAUCCUAAAGAGAAAUGUCAUGCCACGAGAUCCCAGGGUGUAUUCCAUGUCCUCAAUGCCGGAUAGAACAAAAAGGCACCAACGGUCGUGUUACUGCUUGUGGUGGCUCCCCUUAAAAACUCCAGGUGCUGGGAGAAUCAAACAGUUUAAUAUAUGUAAAAUGCUUAGAAACAUGCUGCCUGCCUGGAGGGAUUUAAAGCUGUUCAUCUAAGCACUCUUUUGCUGUCACCAAUGGCAUCUUUGGCACAUAUAUGCAAGACACUGUGUACCACUUGUUGCCCAGGUUGGUCUCAAAUCUUGAUUCCUGCUCUCAAGGGAUCCUUCCACUUCAGCUUCCCAAAUCACGGGAAUUACAGGUGCCACCAACUGUGCCCAGUCACAUGAAUUCUUGAUACCUUUCUUACUUAUUUCUACAUUCCCUAACUUACCCAUAAAAUUAAACCCAUUGAUAUGGCUUGGUUCUGUGUCCCCAUUUAAAUCUCAUCUCAAACUGUAAUACCCACAUGUCAAGGGAGAGGCCUGGUGGGAGGUGAUUGGAUCAUGGGGGUGGUUACUGCUGUGUCGUUCUCAUGACAGUGAGUGAGUUGUCACAAGAUCUGGUGGUUUUAUAAGGGGCUCUUUCCCCCUUCACUCUCUCUCUCCGCAUGUAAGAAGUGCCUGCUUUCCCUUCCACCAUGAUUGUGGGUUCCCUGA
RNAcentral lists this long non-coding RNA (1590 nucleotides) under Homo sapiens (human). RNAcentral's name for it is "non-protein coding lnc-HTR1B-2:7". Lineage: Eukaryota; Metazoa; Chordata; Mammalia; Primates; Hominidae. The record is from RNAcentral.